UGAAAUCUAUUAUAAUUAGUAUUUUUAUUUUAAGCAUAAAAAGUUUAAUUUCAU
RNAcentral lists this transfer RNA (54 nucleotides) under Radopholus similis. Its description in RNAcentral is "transfer RNA-Leu (UUN)". The record is from RNAcentral. Lineage: Eukaryota; Metazoa; Nematoda; Chromadorea; Rhabditida; Pratylenchidae.